RNAcentral lists this ribosomal RNA (254 nucleotides) under uncultured bacterium. RNAcentral's name for it is "partial 16S ribosomal RNA". It matches the Rfam family "Bacterial small subunit ribosomal RNA", at positions 524 to 776 of the family's 1533-position model. The record is from RNAcentral.
UACGUAGGGUGCAAGCGUUGUCCGGAAUUAUUGGGCGUAAAGAGCGUGUAGGCGGCCAGGUAGGUCCGUUGUGAAAACUCGAGGCUCAACCUCGAGACGUCGGCGGAAACCCUCUGGCUAGAGUCCGGAAGAGGAGAGUGGAAUUCCUGGUGUAGCGGUGAAAUGCGCAGAUAUCAGGAAGAACACCCGUGGCGAAGGCGGCUCUCUGGGACGGUACUGACGGCUGAGACGCGAAAGCGUGGGGAGCAAACAGG